UGGGGAAUAUUGCACAAUGGGCGCAAGCCUGAUGCAGCCAUGCCGCGUGUAUGAAGAAGGCCUUCGGGUUGUAAAGUACUUUCAGCGGGGAGGAAGGGAGUAAAGUUAAUACCUUUGCUCAUUGACGUUACCCGCAGAAGAAGCGCCGGCUAACUACGUGCCAGCAGCCGCGGUAAUACGUAGGGCGCGAGCGUUGUCCGGAAUUAUUGGGCGUAAAGGGCUUGUAGGCGGCUUGUUGCGCCUGCUGUGAAAACGCGGGGCUUAACUUCGGGCGUGCAGUGGGUACGGGCAGGCUUGAGUGUGGUAGGGGUGACUGGAAUUCCAGGUGUAGCGGUGGAAUGCGCAGAUAUCUGGAGGAACACCGAUGGCGAAGGCAGGUCACUGGGCCAUUACUGACGCUGAGGAGCGAAAGCAUGGGUAGCGAACAGG
Molecule: ribosomal RNA, 429 nt
Filed under: Chloroflexota bacterium
Lineage: Bacteria; Bacillati; Chloroflexota
Description: Chloroflexi bacterium partial 16S ribosomal RNA
Rfam family: Bacterial small subunit ribosomal RNA
Source: RNAcentral